This 816-nucleotide ribosomal RNA is filed under the name uncultured bacterium. RNAcentral describes it as "bacterial SSU rRNA". It matches the Rfam family "Bacterial small subunit ribosomal RNA", at positions 53 to 865 of the family's 1533-position model. The record is from RNAcentral.
ACAUGCAAGUCGAACGGAUCUAGGGGCUUGCUCCUAGGUUAGUGGCGAACGGGUGAGUAAUGCAUCGGAACGUACCCAGUCGUGGGGGAUAACGUAGCGAAAGUUACGCUAAUACCGCAUACGCCCCGAGGGGGAAAGUGGGGGACCGCAAGGCCUCACGCUAUAUGAGCGGCCGAUGUCGGAUUAGCUAGUUGGUAGGGUAAAGGCCUACCAAGGCGACGAUCCGUAGCGGGUCUGAGAGGAUGAUCCGCCACACUGGGACUGAGACACGGCCCAGACUCCUACGGGAGGCAGCAGUGGGGAAUUUUGGACAAUGGGCGCAAGCCUGAUCCAGCCAUGCCGCGUGAGUGAAGAAGGCCUUCGGGUUGUAAAGCUCUUUCAGACGGAAAGAAAUCUCCCGGGAUAAUACCUCGGGAGGAUGACGGUACCGUAAGAAGAAGCACCGGCUAACUACGUGCCAGCAGCCGCGGUAAUACGUAGGGUGCGAGCGUUAAUCGGAAUUACUGGGCGUAAAGCGUGCGCAGGCGGUCUUGUAAGACAGAUGUGAAAUCCCCGGGCUCAACCUGGGACCUGCAUUUGUGACUGCAAGGCUAGAGUACGGCAGAGGGGGGUGGAAUUCCACGUGUAGCAGUGAAAUGCGUAGAGAUGUGGAGGAACACCAAUGGCGAAGGCAGCCCCCUGGGUCGAUACUGACGCUCAUGCACGAAAGCGUGGGUAGCAAACAGGAUUAGAUACCCUGGUAGUCCACGCCCUAAACGAUGUCAACUAGGUGUUGGGAGGGUAAAACCUUUUAGUACCGGAGCUAACGCGUGAAGU